UACGUAGGGUGCGAGCGUUAAUCGGAAUUACUGGGCGUAAAGCGCGCGCAGGCGGUUCGGCUAGUCGGGUGUGAAAAUCCGGGGCUCAACCCCGGACCUGCAUCCGAUACUUCCGGACUGGAGGGAGGUAGGGGAGAGCGGAAUUCCCGGUGUAGCGGUGAAAUGCGCAGAUAUCGGGAAGAACACCGGUGGCGAAGGCGGCUCUCUGGACCUGUCCUGACGCUCAGGCGCGAAAGCGAGGGGAGCGAACAGG
This 253-nucleotide ribosomal RNA is filed under the name uncultured bacterium. RNAcentral's name for it is "partial 16S ribosomal RNA". It matches the Rfam family "Bacterial small subunit ribosomal RNA", at positions 524 to 776 of the family's 1533-position model. The record is from RNAcentral.